CAAGACCUUGCGCUUUUGGAGCGGCCGAUGUCUGAUUAGCUAGUUGGUGAGGUAAAGGCUUACCAAGGCUUCGAUCAGUAGCUGGUCUGAGAGGACGACCAGCCACACUGGGACUGAGACACGGCCCAGACUCCUACGGGAGGCAGCAGUGGGGAAUUUUGGACAAUGGGGGAAACCCUGAUCCAGCCAUGCCGCGUGAGUGAAGAAGGCCUUCGGGUUGUAAAGCUCUUUCAGCCGGAACGAAAAGGUUACGGUUAAUACCCGUGACUAAUGACGGUACCGGAAGAAGAAGCACCGGCUAACUACGUGCCAGCAGCCGCGGUAAUACGUAGGGUGCGAGCGUUAAUCGGAAUUACUGGGCGUAAAGCGUGCGCAGGCGGUUUUGUAAGUCAGAUGUGAAAUCCCCGGGCUCAACCUGGGAACU
Molecule: ribosomal RNA, 424 nt
Filed under: uncultured beta proteobacterium
Lineage: Bacteria; Pseudomonadati; Pseudomonadota; Betaproteobacteria
Also listed under: 2 other names
Description: bacterial SSU rRNA
Rfam family: Bacterial small subunit ribosomal RNA
Source: RNAcentral